Molecule: ribosomal RNA, 253 nt
Filed under: uncultured bacterium
Lineage: Bacteria
Description: partial 16S ribosomal RNA
Rfam family: Bacterial small subunit ribosomal RNA
Source: RNAcentral
UACGUAGGGUGCAAGCGUUGUCCGGAAUUAUUGGGCGUAAAGAGCUCGUAGGCGGUUUGUUGCGUCGGCUGUGAAAUCCCGAGGCUCAACCUCGGGUCUGCAGUCGAUACGAGCAAACUAGAGUGUUGCAGGGGAGACUGGAAUUCCUGGUGUAGCGGUGAAAUGCGCAGAUAUCAGGAGGAACACCGGUGGCGAAGGCGGGUCUCUGGACGGAUACUGACGCUGAGGCGCGAAAGCGUGGGGAUCAAACAGG